Molecule: ribosomal RNA, 360 nt
Filed under: Brucella anthropi
Lineage: Bacteria; Pseudomonadati; Pseudomonadota; Alphaproteobacteria; Hyphomicrobiales; Brucellaceae
Description: bacterial SSU rRNA
Rfam family: Bacterial small subunit ribosomal RNA
Source: RNAcentral
UCGUUCACCGGCGAAGAUAAUGACGGUACCCGGAGAAGAAGCCCCGGCUAACUUCGUGCCAGCAGCCGCGGUAAUACGAAGGGGGCAAGCGUUAUUCGGAUUUACUGGGCGUAAAGCGCACGCAGGCGGGUUAAAAAGUCAGGGGUGAAAUCCCGGGGCUCAACCCCGGAACUGCCUUUGAUACAGUUAGUCUUGAGUAUGGCAGAGGUGAGUGGAAUUCCGAGUGUAGCGGUGAAAUUCGUAGAUAUUCGGAGGAACACCAGUGGCGAAGGCGGCUCCCUGGGCCAUUACUGACGCUCAGGUGCGAAAGCGUGGGGAGCAAACAGGAUUAGAUACCCUGGUAGUCCACGCCGUAAACGA